UUCCGGUUGAUCCUGCCGGAGGAAUUGCUCUUGGGGUCCGAUUUAGCCAUGCUAGUCGCGCGGGCUUAGACCCGUGGUGAACAGCUCAGUAACACGUGGCCAAGCUGCCCUAUGGACCGGGACAACCUCGGGAAACUGAGGCUAAUCCCGGAUAUGACUCGCAUCCUGGAGUGGAGCGAGUCAGAAAUGCUCCGGCGCCAUAGGAUGUGGCUGCGGCCGAUUAGGUAGACGGUGGGGUAACGGCCCACCGUGCCCGUAAUCGGUACGGGGCAUGAGAGUGCGAGCCCGGAGGCGGUAUCUGAGACAAGAUACCGGGCCCUACGGGGCGCAGCAGGCGCGAAACCUUUACACUGCGCGAGAGCGCGAUAAGGGGACCCCAAGUGCGAGGGCAUAUAGUCCUCGCUGUUCUGGACUGUAGGGAGGUUCAGAAGAAAGGGCUGGGCAAGACCGGUGCCAGCCGCCGCGGUAAUACCGGCAGCCCGAGUGAUGGCUGAUUUUAU
This 500-nucleotide ribosomal RNA is filed under the name uncultured Halorhabdus sp. RNAcentral describes it as "bacterial SSU rRNA". It matches the Rfam family "Archaeal small subunit ribosomal RNA", at positions 1 to 504 of the family's 1478-position model. The record is from RNAcentral. Lineage: Archaea; Methanobacteriati; Methanobacteriota; Halobacteria; Halobacteriales; Haloarculaceae.